UCUUCUUCCAUGGCUAUAUCUACUCUCUUUUUCUCAUGUGUGUUGACUAAGACUAGCAUCAACAGCUAAGGUCCUGGAAUUGUUUCAAACGAUUCAGGAGAUCUAAUCAAGUUGACAUGGACAAGAGGGAGGCAGCUCAGCUCUAACACCUCUGCCAAACUUGAUAGAAAUUCCUUGGAAAAUAGUAUUGAAGAAUGCUUAUCCAGGACAUGAAGACAUAUCAUAUCUGUGGACCAUCAGGGAAGCUUUCCCAUGACUUCAGAUUUCAAAGCUACAGGUGGUCUGCAAGCAUGGCACUUCAAAGUGUGUUUUGAUUAAAUCAAGCAAUGUUUUCGUAAUAUGGAUCCCAGAUCUUUGAACUUUUUUCAGAUCAAUUCAGCCAACAAAGAUUCAAUUAGUUUCAGCUUUAGUUUAAGAGAUGAUUGUUCUGAUGUGAGAUUUUCUAAAAUGACAAAAGGAACAGACUGAUGUGAUAAAUGCUACAAUGACCUGUACAGCUGCAUUCCACUUUACCAAUACAGAAAUCAUUCUACAUAGUCCAUCAAGUAAAAAUAUGGCUUUAUAUGAGAAGAAUCUGAAAAUCC
Neopelma chrysocephalum (saffron-crested tyrant-manakin) is the source of this 584-nucleotide long non-coding RNA. RefSeq lists it as uncharacterized. The record is from RefSeq and is a predicted model, not a curated record. The transcript is spliced from 7 exons. Lineage: Eukaryota; Metazoa; Chordata; Aves; Passeriformes; Pipridae.